Molecule: transfer RNA, 62 nt
Filed under: Lophogaster typicus
Lineage: Eukaryota; Metazoa; Arthropoda; Malacostraca; Lophogastrida; Lophogastridae
Description: tRNA-His
Source: RNAcentral
UCAAUAUUAGUUUAAUAAGAAUUUUAAUUUGUGAAGUUAAAGGUAUAAUAUUAUAUAAUUUA